This 523-nucleotide long non-coding RNA is filed under the name Olea europaea subsp. europaea. The record is from RNAcentral. Lineage: Eukaryota; Viridiplantae; Streptophyta; Magnoliopsida; Lamiales; Oleaceae.
CCUAAUUCAUUUACUGCCAAACAAGCUUCGUGCUAUGAGGAGGACCUUUAAGAUGUGGAAGAUCAGAUCCAUGGAGUCGGAUGCUUGGUUGAAUUGGGUGGUGGCGUCGCCAAUGUUAGCGGGGGAGGCAUGGAUUUUCGAUUUGGAUGGCAUUUCGGGCGAUUUAGGGGUGGACCUUUGGUGAUGGAUCAGGUGCAGGAAGAAGGUUUUGGGAUAUGGUGUUUAUGGUGGUUGAUGGUGCAUCUGGCGAUGUUGUGGCAGUGGCUGGCACUGUCGGAUCUGGUGGUUGUGGUGGUUGAUGGUGCAUUUGGUGGUGGAGUGCGAUGGGAGGUUACGGUGCGAAGUGGUGUUUUGUGCGGUGGUGGUGAUAGUAUGUUCAUUGUGUGGUGGUGAAUCUGGCGGUUGUGAUGAUGGUGGUGUGGUGCGGUGGUGGCACGGUGGUUGAUGGCGGGUGUGGUGCAGUGGUGGCACUGGUGGUUGAUGGUUGAUGUUGUGCGGUAAAUGUGGUGGUUUUGGUUGUUAA